CCACAGCUACAACCGCACAGAACAAGUUUGUAAGAACAGUGAUGUCACUUGGGAUGGCGAGUCUAAGUAUAAAA
Regulatory RNA element from Enterococcus phoeniculicola ATCC BAA-412, 74 nucleotides. Lineage: Bacteria; Bacillati; Bacillota; Bacilli; Lactobacillales; Enterococcaceae. The record is from Rfam.